AACGCACAUUGCGCCCUUUGGUAUUCCAAAGGGCAUGCUUGUUCGAGCGUCAUUUGUACCCUCAAGCUCUGCUUGGUGUUGGGUGUUUGUCCUUUCCCUGCGUCAGGACUCGCCUCAAAUUCAUUGGCAGCCGAUGUAUUGGUUUGAAGCGCAGCACAAUUUUGCGAUUCAGGCUGGUAACCAUGGGCGUCCAGUAAGCACAUUUUAACACUUUUGACCUCGGAUCAAGUAGGGAUACCCGCUGAACUUAA
This 251-nucleotide unclassified non-coding RNA is filed under the name uncultured fungus. Its description in RNAcentral is "sequence contains ITS2". The stretch from base 1 to 52 matches the Rfam family "5.8S ribosomal RNA", at positions 103 to 154 of the family's 154-position model. RNAcentral also lists the same sequence under 1 other name. The record is from RNAcentral. Lineage: Eukaryota; Fungi.